ACAAAUAGAGACAUCACUGCUAUAAAUGCUUUGGAGAGCACUGAUGCUGUUAUCUUAUUCUCUUCCUUAAUGUUUCUAGUUCAAGUUUGAAGGCAAAGGAUGGUCAAAGAAGUCUCUGCUGAGAUACCAAAGAAUAGGAAAGCACACAGGAUGAGGUUAAGUUUCAUGCCAAUGCUUGAUGUUCUUCUUAUUUCUUCAGUUCUGCAAUUUGAAUUCAUGGAAGGUGCCUCAUGAGAUUUCUCAUUGGAAAUGCAUCCCUGAUCAUCGUUACAGAAGACUCUGAGUUGCUACCGGUACUUGCGAGCUAAGCAAGAUUGCUGUGGUGCCGAGUGGAGAGAAGAAGCUUCAGGAGUGCGUGAGUGAGUGACAUGGAUGCCAAACGCAAGAUGAUUCGAUCACAGGGGAGUAGCUGGAAUGCUUUUGUCUCAAGCUAUUUCAGUGCCAAAUCAUUUCUGAUGCUUUUAUCGGUCAUGGCGUCGUUGAUUUUUCUUCCUCUUGUUCUACCUCCAAUGCCUCCACCUCCAUUGUCGUUGCUGUUAGUUCCUAUAGGUAUAUUUCUUGUACUACUGAUCUUGGCUUUCAUGCCACCCUCUGGUGUCCAAAGCAUCACCUCCUCUUGCUUAUGAAAAGUCAGAACCGAGUUUUGUUUCAGCUUCAAAUGACUUUAUGAUCGGAUAGCAAUUUCUUUCA
Molecule: long non-coding RNA, 690 nt
Organism: Musa acuminata subsp. malaccensis (wild Malaysian banana)
Lineage: Eukaryota; Viridiplantae; Streptophyta; Magnoliopsida; Zingiberales; Musaceae
Source: RefSeq, a predicted model, not a curated record